Molecule: non-coding RNA, 24 nt
Filed under: Cricetulus griseus (Chinese hamster)
Lineage: Eukaryota; Metazoa; Chordata; Mammalia; Rodentia; Cricetidae
Source: RNAcentral
CUAUCUCGAAAAACCAAAAGACUG